GGACCAUUAGCUCAGCUGGCAGAGCAACUGACUCUUAAUCAGUGGGUCGAAGGUUCGAUUCCUUCAUGGUCUACCA
Molecule: transfer RNA, 76 nt
Filed under: Muiribacterium halophilum (SeqCode)
Lineage: Bacteria; Candidatus Muiribacteriota; Muiribacteriia (SeqCode); Muiribacteriaceae (SeqCode)
Description: bacterium BM706 tRNA-Lys
Rfam family: tRNA
About the family: Transfer RNA (tRNA) molecules are approximately 80 nucleotides in length.
Source: RNAcentral